AGAGCGGGGUUGAGCCAAGGAUGACUUGCCGCGCAUUAAUAUUGUUUCUUGUUUGGACGAGCAAAAGGUAGUUUUUCGUGGCAAGAAUCCUUGGCUCUACCGCCUUCUGU
This 110-nucleotide microRNA precursor is filed under the name Jatropha curcas. Lineage: Eukaryota; Viridiplantae; Streptophyta; Magnoliopsida; Malpighiales; Euphorbiaceae. The record is from RNAcentral.